UAGGGAAUCUUCCGCAAUGGACGCAAGUCUGACGGAGCAACGCCGCGUGAGUGAAGAAGGAUUUCGGUUCGUAAAACUCUGUUGUUAGAGAAGAACAGCGCAUAGAGUAACUGUUAUGCGUGUGACGGUAUCUAACCAGAAAGCCACGGCUAACUACGUGCCAGCAGCCGCGGUAAUACGUAGGUGGCAAGCGUUGUCCGGAUUUAUUGGGCGUAAAGCGAGCGCAGGCGGUCAAUUAAGUCUGAUGUGAAAGCCCCCGGCUCAACCGUGGAGGGUCAUUGGAAACUGGAAAACUUGAGUGCAGAAGAGGAAAGUGGAAUUCCAUGUGUGGCGGUGAAAUGCGCAGAGAUAUGGAGGAACACCAGUGGCGAAGGCGACUUUCUGGUCUGAAACUGACGCUGAUGUGCGAAAGCGUGGGUAGCAAACAGG
RNAcentral lists this ribosomal RNA (429 nucleotides) under Bacteroidota bacterium. RNAcentral's name for it is "Bacteroidetes bacterium partial 16S ribosomal RNA". It matches the Rfam family "Bacterial small subunit ribosomal RNA", at positions 355 to 776 of the family's 1533-position model. The record is from RNAcentral. Lineage: Bacteria; Pseudomonadati; Bacteroidota.